Molecule: ribosomal RNA, 468 nt
Filed under: uncultured bacterium
Lineage: Bacteria
Description: partial 16S ribosomal RNA
Rfam family: Bacterial small subunit ribosomal RNA
Source: RNAcentral
GACGAACGCUGGCGGCGAGCUUAACACAUGCAAGUCGAACGGAAAGGCCCUGCUUUUGUGGGGUGCUCGAGUGGCGAACGGGUGAGUAACACGUGAGUAACCUGCCCUUGACUUUGGGAUAACUUCAGGAAACUGGGGCUAAUACCGGAUAGGAGCUCCUGCUGCAUGGUGGGGGUUGGAAAGUUUCGGCGGUUGGGGAUGGACUCGCGGCUUAUCAGCUUGUUGGUGGGGUAGUGGCUUACCAAGGCUUUGACGGGUAGCCGGCCUGAGAGGGUGACCGGCCACAUUGGGACUGAGAUACGGCCCAGACUCCUACGGGAGGCAGCAGUGGGGAAUAUUGCAGAAUGGGCGGAAGCCUGAUGCAGCAACGCCGCGUGCGGGAUGACGGCCUUCGGGUUGUAAACCGCUUUCGCCUGUGACGAAGCGUGAGUGACGGUAAUGGGUAAAGAAGCACCGGCUAACUACGUG